AGCAACAUAUAUCUUCCUCUCAGCAACAUGAUGAAACUCAUUUAUUAUAUAGUAUAUGACUCUAAGAUGGAUAAAUUCUUGUGUUGUAAGUAACAUAUACAUCAUCCGAGUAAACUGAUGAAAUUUAAAACUCAUUACUUAAUAGUUUUUCAAAUAUGAAAAUAUGACUCAGCUAUUGGAUUUAUUUGCAUAUUGUUGUUAAGCACCUAUUGUAAACAUUAAUAUACUCAUGAACCUCAAUUCACGAGUUUCCUCAAAUCACAGUGACAGGGAAAUGAUUCAAACACAUAUGACAACCUUAUAACCAACAAAAUAGCAACCUUUAAAAAAUACAUAACUCAAUAACAGUCUAUAAACAGAACUAAACUUACUUACCAUCAACUUCAUGGCCACUCAUUGGUUUCAAGUGCCAUUUAAUUUGGGAAAUGAGAGUUCUUUUCCAUCUUGGGAAAGUUGAUCAUGUCCAUUAGAUUAAAUGAGGAACAUAUUCCUAUCAUACUCUCUCAACCACUAGAUUAUUUUUUUAUACUAUCUUUCACACUCUCUUUUUCAUGUCCCCACACACCAUACAACCACCACUAAAUCACAAAUUCAACAACCACUUUGGCCACCACUGCACCACCACACACCACCAUGGUUGCUGCCGGAAAGAACUCUCCUUUCCCAAAUUAAAUGGCACCAUCAUUUUAAUCAAAACUCAAGGGUACCUGCAAAUUUUCCUAUAAAGAAUCUAAAUUAACUUAACAAUGCAAUAUUAUAUUAAUAUUUUUUUAGAGGGAUGCUAUAUUAUUUUGUUCAUAGUUUAUUUUAGAGGGAUGCAUAAUUAUCUUGUUGUUCGAAUUCCAAUCACCAUCGCAUAAACUAUACCUGUUUGUGAUUGUGUUUUUUUUAAUCCAAUUAAUCCGUUUCUCUCCAGGUAAAAUGAUUGUAUUAUAUAAUUUUGAAUUAUAUUAUUUUUCUUCUGUUUUUUUUAUAUAAAAAAACAAAUGGGUUCUGGAAGCAUAAAAAAAGAAAAAAAAAGAAAAAAUGUUAAAAAAGUAAGGUUUAAAUGUAUUUUUGGUCUUUCUAUUUAAAAAGAAAAUGAUGUUUUGGUCUUCCUAUUUUAAAAAUCGUACGCUAACAAGUUUUCCGACAGCAACCAUGGUGGUGUGUGGUGGUGCAGUGGUGGUCAAAGUGGUUGUUGAAUUUGUGAUUUAGUGGUGGUGGUAUGGGUGUGUGGGGACAUGAAAGAGAGAGUGUGAAAGAUAGUAUAAAAAAAUAAUCUAGUGGUUGAGAGAGUAUGAUAGGAAUAUGUUCCUCAUUUAAUCUAAUAGAUAUGAUCAACUUUCCCAUGGUGGGAAAGAACUCUCCUUUCCCAAAUUAAAUGGCACCUUGGUUUCAUUCUUCUCAAUCCUGCAAUAGAAGCAAACGAACAAAAAACCUAUUUAGCAGAACAAAAAGGAAAAUGGAAACAGAACUUGAAGGCGGCGACAUGAUGUUGAACAUGGGUUCUGUUUGUGUCUGUGAGAGAGGCACCGAUAGUUGGGUUUGAAAUUGAGGGUUUUGUGUCAGAGAGAGGGAGAUAUUUCAUGUGUGUGUGUGAGAAAGAGAGAGAGAGAUUUGGUUUAAGGGUUUGCUUGAAAAUGGGUUAUGGUGUGAGUUGUAUGUAUGAGCGGAGCGGACAAGAGCAAAAAUGGUUCUUUUUGCCUCUAUUUUUUUCAUUUAUCUUGCUUUGCUUUAUUUUUGUCUACUUUUGUUUGUGAGGGAAAUUGCUUGUUUUGGCAAAAUAUUUGAAUUUGAAUUUGGGAGCCAAUGUUGG
RNAcentral lists this long non-coding RNA (1798 nucleotides) under Medicago truncatula (barrel medic). Its description in RNAcentral is "long non-coding RNA (MTRU_LNC002049)". The record is from RNAcentral. Lineage: Eukaryota; Viridiplantae; Streptophyta; Magnoliopsida; Fabales; Fabaceae.